Molecule: ribosomal RNA, 393 nt
Filed under: uncultured bacterium
Lineage: Bacteria
Description: partial 16S ribosomal RNA
Rfam family: Bacterial small subunit ribosomal RNA
Source: RNAcentral
AUACGGAUGAUCCGAGCGUUAUCCGGAUUUAUUGGGUUUAAAGGGUGCGUAGGUGGACAGGUCAGUCAGGGGUGAAAGUUUGCAGCUUAACUGUAAAAUUGCCUUUGAUACUGCUUGUCUUGAGUGCAAAUGAGGUAGGCGAAAUGCGUUGUGUAGCGGUGAAAUGCUUAGAUAUGACACAGAACUCCGAUUGCGAAGGCAGCUUACUGGGAUGCAACUGACACUGAGGCACGAAGGCGUGGGGAUCAAACAGGAUUAGAUACCCUGGUAGUCCACGCAGUAAACGAUGAAUACUAGCUGUUUGCGAUAUAUUGUAAGCGGCACAGCGAAAGCGUUAAGUAUUCCACCUGGGGAGUACGUUCGCAAGAAUGAAACUCAAAGGAAUUGACGGGG